Panonychus citri (citrus red mite) is the source of this 505-nucleotide long non-coding RNA. RefSeq lists it as uncharacterized. The record is from RefSeq and is a predicted model, not a curated record. NCBI's taxonomy places the organism in Eukaryota, Metazoa, Arthropoda, Arachnida, Trombidiformes, Tetranychidae. The transcript has 2 exons.
CGUCCAAUUUUACUUUCUCGAUCUAUCUUUAAAUCUCAAUCGAUUUGAUUCAUGGGCUGGAUGUGCUCUAGCAAUAACAAGUCAAAUUGAUCAAUCUUCUUCAACUAAUUGAGAAGCAAAGGAUAUCUUCGUGAAACCGAUCGUGAAAAUCUUGGGAAAAAAGCAUUGGAACUUUGUUUUAGUAUUUACGAGAGUCGAAUUGCAGAGGCGGAAGGAAAUCAUCAGGACUUAAAGUCAAUUGAAGCCAAUUUAAGGGAAAUAUGUAAUAAAUUGAUGGAAUAUCCUUUCUACGAACAUUCUGCUAAAAAAUUCCUCGAAAAACAUGACAAUCGCGUUGAAUGUAUAACAAUUGAUUAAUCACUAACUUUAAUGACGAAUAUCUUUCCUUAUAAAGUUUUUUAAAUUCGCAAAAAUCUUUACUGAUUAUGAACGAAACUAAUGCAAUUUUACAUAGAAAUUGGAUGAUUUGAAUAAAUUUGGAUCAAUUUUCUUUAUUAUUAAUAUA